CCUACGGGUGGCAGCAGUGGGGAAUAUUGGGCAAUGGGCGCAAGCCUGACCCAGCAACGCCGCGUGAAGGAAGAAGGCUUUCGGGUUGUAAACUUCUUUUAAGGGGGAAGAGCAGAAGACGGUACCCCUUGAAUAAGCCACGGCUAACUACGUGCCAGCAGCCGCGGUAAUACGUAGGUGGCGAGCGUUAUUCGGAUUUAUUGGGUUUAAAGGGUGCGUAGGCGGACUGGAAAGUCAGCGGUAAAAUCGAGAGGCUCAAACUCUUUCCGCCGUUGAAACUGUCGGUCUUGAGUGGGCGAGAAGUAUGCGGAAUGCGUGGUGUAGCGGUGAAAUGCAUAGAUAUCACGCAGAACUCCGAUUGCGAAGGCAGCAUACCGGCGCCCGACUGACGCUGAGGCACGAAAGCGUGGGUAUCGAACAGGAUUAGAUACCCGAGUAGUC
This 441-nucleotide ribosomal RNA is filed under the name uncultured bacterium. RNAcentral's name for it is "partial 16S ribosomal RNA". It matches the Rfam family "Bacterial small subunit ribosomal RNA", at positions 338 to 795 of the family's 1533-position model. The record is from RNAcentral.